This 488-nucleotide ribosomal RNA is filed under the name uncultured bacterium. Its description in RNAcentral is "bacterial SSU rRNA". It matches the Rfam family "Bacterial small subunit ribosomal RNA", at positions 41 to 518 of the family's 1533-position model. The record is from RNAcentral.
UACAAGGCUUAACACAUGCAAGUCGAGGGGCAUCAUUAUCGAAGCUUGCUUUGAUAGAUGGCGACCGGCGCACGGGUGAGUAACGCGUAUCCAACUCCCCUUAGUAGAGGAUAGCCCGGCGAAAGUCGGAUUAAUACUCUAUGUUGUAUUUUGAGGACAUCUGACGAAUACUAAAGAUUUAUCGCUAAGGGAUGGGGAUGCGUCUGAUUAGCUUGUCGGUGGGGUAACGGCCCACCGAGGCGACGAUCAGUAGGGGUUCUGAGAGGAAGGUCCCCACAUUGGUACUGAGACACGGACCAAACUCCUACGGGAGGCAGCAGUGAGGAAUAUUGGUCAAUGGACGAGAGUCUGAACCAGCCAAGUAGCGUGCAGGAAAAGACUGCCCUAUGGGUUGUAAACUGCUUUUAUGCGGGAAUAAAGUCAGGUACGCGUACCUGUUUGCAUGUACCGCAUGAAUAAGGACCGGCUAAUUCCGUGCCAGCAGCUGC